This 250-nucleotide ribosomal RNA is filed under the name uncultured bacterium. Its description in RNAcentral is "partial 16S ribosomal RNA". It matches the Rfam family "Bacterial small subunit ribosomal RNA", at positions 524 to 773 of the family's 1533-position model. The record is from RNAcentral.
GACAGAGGGUGCAAACGUUGUUCGGAAUUACUGGGCGUAAAGCGCGUGUAGGCGGCCAUGCAAGUCGGGUGUGAAAUCCCACGGCUCAACCGUGGAAGUGCACUCGAAACUGCGUGGCUGGAGUUCUGGAGAGGAAGGCGGAAUACUUGGUGUAGAGGUGAAAUUCGUAGAUAUCAAGUGGAACACCGGUGGCGAAGGCGGCCUUCUGGACAGUAACUGACGCUGAGACGCGAAAGCGUGGGGAGCAAAC